UGGGGAAUAUUGGACAAUGGGCGCAAGCCUGAUCCAGCCAUGCCGCGUGAGUGAUGAAGGCCUUAGGGUUGUAAAGCUCUUUCAGUAGGGAAGAUAAUGACGGUACCUACAGAAGAAGCCCCGGCUAACUUCGUGCCAGCAGCCGCGGUAAUACGAAGGGGGCUAGCGUUGUUCGGAUUUACUGGGCGUAAAGCGCACGUAGGCGGUUUGUUAAGUCAGGGGUGAAAUCCCGGAGCUCAACUCCGGAACUGCCCUUGAUACUGGCAAGCUAGAGUCCGGAAGAGGUGAGUGGAACUCCUAGUGUAGAGGUGGAAUUCGUAGAUAUUAGGAAGAACACCAGUGGCGAAGGCGGCUCACUGGUCCGGAACUGACGCUGAGGUGCGAAAGCGUGGGGAGCAAACAGG
Molecule: ribosomal RNA, 404 nt
Filed under: uncultured Devosia sp.
Lineage: Bacteria; Pseudomonadati; Pseudomonadota; Alphaproteobacteria; Hyphomicrobiales; Devosiaceae
Description: bacterial SSU rRNA
Rfam family: Bacterial small subunit ribosomal RNA
Source: RNAcentral